AGGAAGGUAGUGUAGUUAACACCUGCAUUAUUUGACGUUACCUACAGAAGAAGCACCGGCUAACUCCGUGCCAGCAGCCGCGGUAAUACGGAGGGUGCGAGCGUUAAUACGGAAUUACUGGGCGUAAAGCGCAUGCAGGCGGCCUGUUAAGUCAGAUGUAGAAAGGACCCGGGGCCGUUUAACCGUACGGUAAGUUGCUAUUUAGUAAACGUAGGCGAGGCUAGAGUCUUGUAGAGGGGGGUAGGAAUUUCAGGUGUAGCGGUGAAAUGCGUAGAGAUCUGAAGGAAUACCAGUGGCGAAGGCGGCCCCCUGGACAAAGACUGACGCUCAGAUGCGAAAGCGUGGGGAGCAAACAGGAUUAGAUACCCUGGUAG
This 374-nucleotide ribosomal RNA is filed under the name uncultured bacterium. RNAcentral describes it as "bacterial SSU rRNA". It matches the Rfam family "Bacterial small subunit ribosomal RNA", at positions 441 to 793 of the family's 1533-position model. The record is from RNAcentral.